This 34-nucleotide ribosomal RNA is filed under the name Anopheles hyrcanus. Its description in RNAcentral is "partial 28S ribosomal RNA". Lineage: Eukaryota; Metazoa; Arthropoda; Insecta; Diptera; Culicidae. The record is from RNAcentral.
AGCCUCAAGUUAUGUGUGACAACCCCCUGAAUUU